Molecule: unclassified non-coding RNA, 230 nt
Filed under: uncultured fungus
Lineage: Eukaryota; Fungi
Description: sequence contains ITS1, 5.8S rRNA gene
Rfam family: 5.8S ribosomal RNA (bases 182-230)
Source: RNAcentral
UCUCCGUAGGUGAACCUGCGGAGGGAUCAUUACUGAGUGAGGGUCUCCGGGCCCGACCUCCAACCCCAUGUGAACCGAAACCUGUUGCUUCGGGGGCGACCCUGCCGCUUCGGCGGUGCGGCGCCCCCGGAGGCCAUUAAACACUGCAUCUCUGCGUCGGAGUCUUAAUGAAUUUAAACAAAACUUUUAACAACGGAUCUCUUGGUUCUGGCAUCGAUGAAGAACGCAGC